RNAcentral lists this ribosomal RNA (252 nucleotides) under uncultured bacterium. Its description in RNAcentral is "partial 16S ribosomal RNA". It matches the Rfam family "Bacterial small subunit ribosomal RNA", at positions 524 to 775 of the family's 1533-position model. The record is from RNAcentral.
UACGUAGGGUGCGAGCUUUGUCCGGAAUUAUUGGGCGUAAAGAGCUUGUAGGUGGCUCGUUGCGUCGGGAGUGAAAACCCGCGGCUUAACCGCGGGCCUGCUUCCGAUACGGGCGAGCUAGAGUUCGGCAGGGGAGACUGGAAUUCCUGGUGUAGCGGUGGAAUGCGCAGAUAUCAGGAGGAACACCGGUGGCGAAGGCGGGUCUCUGGGCCGAUACUGACACUGAGAAGCGAAAGCGUGGGGAGCGAACAG